UUUAUAAAGUCCUAAAUAAAUACAUAUAGGUAUGUAGCAUGAAUAUACAACAUUAUACCACCAAAUUCAUUCUUUUAAACUACCAAAUACACAGAAUUUGACAACCAAGUAACUUGCAAGUCUUUGACUGUCAAAUUGAAGACUGCUUGCACACAUCCUUUAACCAAUUAAACUAUUAAAUACAACCCACAAUCUAUACAAUUACAAUCAAAUAAAGAUCAUCUAAAGUGUUGCUUCAGUCACGUUUACCUUCUUCCCCACUCAACACCCUUCUACUCCUUCACUUCCCAGUCAAAAAUCAAACACCAAACAAAACAAUCCUCUUACCUUUCAUCGAUUUACGUCAAAACAACAACAAAAGAGAAAAAAAUAAAAAAAAAAUAAGAGAAAAAAACCACAUCAACAACAUCGAUUUACCUUUGGAUUGAAUGCCAAAUCAAAAAAAAAAAAAAAAAAAAAAAAAAAAAAAAAAAAAAAACAAAAAGAAAACACAGCACAAAAAUUAAAAAAAAAAACAAAAAUAUNAACCAAGAGGAUUACCGGUUGCUGCUUGCCUGCUUUGUCCUUACCCUCCAAUCCAACUGUUUCCCAUUUCCAUCGCGUUUACAUCCAAUCGAACCAGAAGAAGAGCAGCCAAGAACAGCCACACCAAACCCUCGAUCUGAAAAUCCUUGAAUCUCUUUCCCUUUUCGCCCAUCGCACCAUUCUUCUUCUUCGU
RNAcentral lists this long non-coding RNA (718 nucleotides) under Lactuca sativa (garden lettuce). RNAcentral describes it as "long non-coding RNA (LSAT_LNC006333)". The record is from RNAcentral. Lineage: Eukaryota; Viridiplantae; Streptophyta; Magnoliopsida; Asterales; Asteraceae.